GGGGGAUUAGUCAAGCGGUCGAAGACGGCAGACUGUAAAUCUGUUAUCCCACACGGUAGUUCGAAUCUACCAUCCCCCACCA
Molecule: transfer RNA, 82 nt
Filed under: Erwinia phage Ea9-2
Lineage: Duplodnaviria; Heunggongvirae; Uroviricota; Caudoviricetes; Schitoviridae
Also listed under: 1 other name
Description: tRNA-Tyr
Rfam family: tRNA
About the family: Transfer RNA (tRNA) molecules are approximately 80 nucleotides in length. Their secondary structure includes four short double-helical elements and three loops (D, anti-codon, and T loops).
Source: RNAcentral